RNAcentral lists this ribosomal RNA (406 nucleotides) under uncultured bacterium. Its description in RNAcentral is "partial 16S ribosomal RNA". It matches the Rfam family "Bacterial small subunit ribosomal RNA", at positions 30 to 526 of the family's 1533-position model. The record is from RNAcentral.
AUUGAACGCUGGCGGCAGGCUUAACACAUGCAAGUCGAACGAGUGGCGGACGGGUGAGUAAUGCUUGGGAAACUGGCUUAUGGAGGGGGAUAACUACUGGAAACGGUGGCUAAUACCGCUUACAUUCGUAUGUGCCAAGUUGGGAUUAGUUUUUUGUUUGGGUAAAGGCUCACCAAGGCGACGAUCCCUAGCUGGUCUGAGAGGAUGACCAGCCACAAUGGAACUGCGACACGGCCCAGACUCCGACGGGAGGCAGCAGUGGGGAAGAGUGCACAAUGGGCGAAAGCCUGAUGCAGCCAUGCCGCGUGUAUGAAGAAGGCCUUAGGGUUGUAAAGUACGUUCAGCGGGGAGGCGUUACCCGCAGAAGAAGCACCGGCUAACUCCGUGCCAGCAGCCGCGGUAAUAC